RNAcentral lists this small RNA (244 nucleotides) under Mus caroli (Ryukyu mouse). RNAcentral describes it as "sRNA (MGP_CAROLIEiJ_G0008455.1)". The record is from RNAcentral. Lineage: Eukaryota; Metazoa; Chordata; Mammalia; Rodentia; Muridae.
GGGCGUGAGGCUGAUGUGGCUGUGCUAUCUGCCACGAGCUGAUCGCUAGGUUGGUUUGGCUGACAUGGCUGGGUUGGUAGGUGCUCCCUGCUUUUUCCUCUUCAGUCCAUGCAUCCUUCCUGAAGCUUCUUCCUGUUGAGGACAACCCUCUCCAACAGGGCCCCCCUGGCCUUAGUGUGCAGAGUGCUGAGUGUUUCUAUGGAAAUCUCCAAACAAGCUUUUAAGGUCCAAAUCUGGACCUUGA